GCAGGGGUAGCAAAGCCUGGUCAAAUGCGACAGGUUCAGGGCCUGUUCCUUUAGGGGUUCGAGGGUUCAAAUCCCUUCCCCUGCA
This 85-nucleotide transfer RNA is filed under the name Candidatus Micrarchaeota archaeon CG08_land_8_20_14_0_20_59_11. RNAcentral's name for it is "tRNA-Leu". It matches the Rfam family "tRNA". Rfam says of the family: Transfer RNA (tRNA) molecules are approximately 80 nucleotides in length. Their secondary structure includes four short double-helical elements and three loops (D, anti-codon, and T loops). Lineage: Archaea; Nanobdellati; Microcaldota. RNAcentral also lists the same sequence under 1 other name. The record is from RNAcentral.